AGUGAACGCUGGCGGUAUGCCUAACACAUGCAAGUCGAACGGCAGCACAGUAAGAUUUUGCUCUUACGGUUGGCGACUGGCGGACGGGUAAGGAAUGCAUCGGCAUCUACUUUUUCUGGGGGGAUAUCGUAGGGAAACUUACGCUAAUACCUCAUACGACCUACGGGUGAGAUCAGUAGAUCUUCGGAGUUUUCGUGCUUCAUUUAGCUGAUGUCGGAUUAGCUAGUUGGCUGGGUAAAGGCCCACCAAGGCGACGAUCCGUAGCUGGUCUGAGAGGAUGAUCAGCCACACUGGAACUGAGACACGGUCCAGACUCCUACGGGAGGCAGCAGUGGGGAAUAUUGGACAAUGGGCGCAAGCCUGAUCCAGCCAUACCGCGUGGGUGAAGAAGGCCUUCGGGUUGUAAAGCCCUUUUGUUGGGAAAGAAAAGCAGCAGGUUAAUACCCCGCUGUUCUGACGGUACCCAAAGAAUAAGCACCGGCUAACUUCGUG
This 492-nucleotide ribosomal RNA is filed under the name uncultured bacterium. RNAcentral describes it as "partial 16S ribosomal RNA". It matches the Rfam family "Bacterial small subunit ribosomal RNA", at positions 29 to 507 of the family's 1533-position model. The record is from RNAcentral.